Molecule: long non-coding RNA, 2209 nt
Filed under: Ornithorhynchus anatinus (platypus)
Lineage: Eukaryota; Metazoa; Chordata; Mammalia; Monotremata; Ornithorhynchidae
Description: lncRNA (ENSOANG00000037748.1)
Source: RNAcentral
ACCAACAUCAUUAUUAUUAAUCCUGGCUCUGCCACUAAUCGGCUGUGUGACUUGGUCCUCGUCUGUAAAAUGGAGAUUAAGACUGUGAGCCCUGCAUGGGGCAACCCGAUUACCUUGUAUCUACCCCAACGCUUAGAACAGUGCUUGGCACGUAGUCAGCGCUUAACAAAUGCCAUCAUCAUUAUUAUUAUUGCAGUACUCUGCAUUCAGUAGGUGCUCAGUAAAUUCCACCGAUUGACGGGAAGUGCUGGAAGUGUCCCCGCUCGACAGGGAGCCUCAGCAGCUAUUGGCAGGAAGGCAGGCAGAGUCCAGAUGACACGAGACAAGAGGAGAGCUGGGGUUUAGAACCCAAAACAAGGGACGGUGGAAAGUCCACCGAGGGUGAGAGUCACGGGACUGUGGAUCAGAUCUGGCGCCUGGUGGGGAAUGAAAAGUUAAUUACUGCUUUCCUCUCUUUCAAAGAAAAACAUCCCUCUCCCGCCCCCAGCCCCGAUAUUUUCCAUCCAGAUGUCACACGGUAUUUGUGGGAUCCGCAGGAGAAUGGAAGCAGAGUUGACAACGGAGCAGCGCCGCGACAACUGUUACCUUGGAAACCCUUGCGAGCAAUCCUAAUGACAAUUAGCAGGACUCAGACCAGGCUGUGUCGACAGGCCGGCCGUAAAGAGGGAGUCGGGGAUCACGCACGGGGCAGGGGACUGACGGAACGGCGGCUUCUUCCUCUUUGUGGGUCCUUGGCGAAAUUAAGAAAACUUUCCUGGAAAAGGGCGUACAAAUAAGAAUGUUGUGGACACUAUCCCUCGAGGAACUUGCAAUCUGUGAGUUACUGGGAGUCAAGGGAACGACCCGGGAAGCCCACAUAACCUAUCCGUCACCAAAACCUGCCGGUCUCACCUUCACAACAUCGCCAAGAUCCGCCCUUUCCUCUCCAUCCAAACCGCUACCUUGUUAGUUCAAACACUCAUCGUAUCCUGACUGGAUUCCUGAAUCAGCCUCCUUUCUGAUCUCCCAAACUCCAGUCUCUCCCCACUGCCGUCCAUACUUCACUCUGCUGCCCGGAUUAUCUUUCUACAGAACCGUUCUGGGCAUGUCACCCCCCUUCUCAAAAAUCUCCGGUGGUUGCCUAUCAACCUUUAUAUCAAGCAGAAACUCCUCGCCUCCAAGCUGUCCAUCCCCUGGCCCCCUCCUACCUCACCUCCCUUCUCUCCUUCUCCAGCCCAGCCCGCACGCUCCGCUCCUCUGCCGCUAACCACCUCACGGUGCCUCGUUCUCAUCUGUCCCGCCAUCGACCCCUGGCCCACGUCCUACCUUUGGCCUGAAAUGCCCUCCCUCCUCACAUCUGCCAAACUAGCAUGCUUCCCUCCCUCAAAGCCCUACUGAAAGGUCACCUCCUCCAAGAGGCCUUCCCAGACUGAACCCCCCCUUUUCCUCUGUUCUUCCUCCCCUUCCCAUCGCCCCGACUCCCUCCCUCUGCUCUACCCCCCUCCCCACCCCACAGCACUUGUACAUAUAUUGCACAUAAUGUACAAUACUUGUACAUUUGUACAUACUGUACGUAAUGUACAUAGUUAUUAUUCUAUUUAUUUAUUAAUGAUGUGUAUGUAUCUAUAAUUCUGUUUAUCUAUAUUGAUGCUAUUGAUGCGUGUAUACUAGUUUUGUUUUGUUGUCUGUCUCCCCCCUUCUAGACUGUAAGGGUAGGGAUUGUUUCUAUUUGUUGCCAAAUUGAACUUUCCAAGCCCUCAAGUACAGUGCUCUGCACACAGUAAGCGCUCAAUAAAUACCAUCGAAUGAAUGAACGAAUCUCUCCGGCAGAGAUGGGAGGUGUCUUCCCCCAUGGGUCACACAGCGCAGGAAACUGAGGCUCAGAGAGGUGAAGUGACUCGUGCCGGGUCACCCAGCAGGCCAGGGGCACAGCUGAGACUAGUCCUGGGUUUCCUCUCGGGUAUACGUGCUUCCAGAGCCUGGUUAUCAGCCCCAGAAGUUCCCGAAUGGCUGCCUCAAAGAUGUUAGUGGUGUCCGGACCCUGUGAGCUGCAGAUGUUUCCCGGUGGAUCUGAAGUCUAUCCUGACCCUAACAUCCAGACCUCUCAUUAGUUCCUCAACCCGGCCCCCUAGGUCAGAUGGGACCGACGCUGGACCAGCCAGAGCCACCCCUGCUUCCCGACGGCGGGGAUGGGGGAAGGCUGAGACGGGACACUUCAGCUCUGUCUCUG